This 624-nucleotide ribosomal RNA is filed under the name fungal endophyte. RNAcentral's name for it is "eukaryotic LSU rRNA". The stretch from base 180 to 333 matches the Rfam family "5.8S ribosomal RNA". The record is from RNAcentral. Lineage: Eukaryota; Fungi.
GGUGACCUGCGGAGGGAUCAUUACUGAGUGAGGGCCUCCGGGUCCGACCUCCAACCCUUUUGUGAACCACCUCUGUUGCUUCGGGGGCGACCCCGCCGUUCGCGCGGCGGCGGCGCCCCCGGUGGCCCAAUCAAAACCUCGCGUAACUUUAGUGUCGGAGUCUUAAUUGAAUAAAUCAAAACUUUCAACAACGGAUCUCUUGGUUCUGGCAUCGAUGAAGAACGCAGCGAAAUGCGAUAAGUAAUGUGAAUUGCAGAAUUCAGUGAAUCAUCGAAUCUUUGAACGCACAUUGCGCCCCUUGGUAUUCCGAGGGGCAUGCCUGUUCGAGCGUCAUUUCACCACUCAAGCCUGGCUUGGUAUUGGGCGCCGCGGGACUCCCGCGCGCCUCAAAGUCUUUAUUUCCGGCUGAGCGACCCGUCUCUAAGCGUUGUGGCAACUAUUCGCGGCGAGAUCGGGGGGCGGCGGCCGUUAAAUCAUUUCAUUCAGGUUGACCUCGGAUCAGGUAGGGAUACCCGCUGAACUUAAGCAUAUCAAUAAGCGGAGGAAAAGAAACCAACAGGGAUUGCCCUAGUAACGGCGAGUGAAGCGGCAACAGCUCAAAUUUGAAACCUGGCGUAAGCCCGG